GUGAAAAGCUAAUUAGGUCAUUCAUUCUUUGAUUUAUUUAUUCUAUUUAUUUUUCUUUUUUCGGGGAAAGGAGAAGGGGGUGGAAAGGGAAAAGUGGCAUGAAAAAGCCUUUCAGUUUUAAAUUUGAGAUGACAGGUUGUGAAUAGAUUAUGUACACCAUCGGCCAUGUUUUGGAUAUAGAAACAUACGAUCAGCCAUGUUUUGGAUAUAGAAACACACCAUCGGCCAAGUUUUUGGAUAUAGAAACACACCAUCGGCCAAGUUUGAAUAUA
This 272-nucleotide long non-coding RNA is filed under the name Mytilus galloprovincialis (Mediterranean mussel). Lineage: Eukaryota; Metazoa; Mollusca; Bivalvia; Mytilida; Mytilidae. The record is from RNAcentral.